This 280-nucleotide ribosomal RNA is filed under the name uncultured bacterium. RNAcentral describes it as "partial 16S ribosomal RNA". It matches the Rfam family "Bacterial small subunit ribosomal RNA", at positions 510 to 789 of the family's 1533-position model. The record is from RNAcentral.
AGCAGCCGCGGUAAUACGGAGGGAGCUAGCGUUAUUCGGAAUUACUGGGCGUAAAGCGCACGUAGGCGGCUUUGUAAGUAAGAGGUGAAAGCCCAGAGCUCAACUCUGGAAUUGCCUUUUAGACUGCAUCGCUUGAAUCAUGGAGAGGUCAGUGGAAUUCCGAGUGUAGAGGUGAAAUUCGUAGAUAUUCGGAAGAACACCAGUGGCGAAGGCGGCUGACUGGACAUGUAUUGACGCUGAGGUGCGAAAGCGUGGGGAGCAAACAGGAUUAGAUACCCUG